Long non-coding RNA from Bacillus rossius redtenbacheri, 1559 nucleotides. RefSeq lists it as uncharacterized. The transcript has 3 exons. The record is from RefSeq and is a predicted model, not a curated record. NCBI's taxonomy places the organism in Eukaryota, Metazoa, Arthropoda, Insecta, Phasmatodea, Bacillidae.
AGUAUGAAUGAUGCGGAGAAGUCGGGAGGGGGGAUGUGCAAGGUGCAGUGUCCACGUAGCAUUUAUAUAGAGUGGGUUGGCGAGAUCCGGGGAAAGCAUGUCGCAAGUCGUGUUGUCGGGAAGCGAAGACUCGUCGCACGCAAGACGCUCGAGGAUCGAGCUCAGCUAGUGCGUCGCAGGAACCAGGCUUUAGCGGGCCCUCGUUCUCGAGCGCCCCGCUCCCGGCCGGCGGGAGGUGGCCACGAAGACGUGCACGACCCAGUUGCUGUCCCGGGGAGGGCACAGAGCAGCGGCCGUUACAGAGAGCAAGCUCCGGCCACAACUACCGGGGCCAGCCUGGCACCGCCGGCAGACGAGGAUGUCGCUGGGCGUGGCAAACUGUACAGCACAGAAAUUUACACGACCAAAAAAUGAAAGCGCCCUUAAUCUCAUAUUCAUAUAUUUAGCAGCAUAAGUAUUGUUAACAUAAAAGAGUCAGUGGCGGAUGUGAGGGGUGGGGGGUGGGGGGGAGGGGAAAUGCAGCUCCCCCUAGAGUUAUGGAAAAACUACGAGAUCUCAGUGAAGGCACUACGUUAUUCUGAAUGAUGCUAGGAGAGCUGUUACAACAUUUGGAAUCACAAUCACAAAGGACAAAGGCAAUGAUGCAUGUUGAGAAUCAUAGUGUAAAUGUGCUAACCCUUUGCUGACCUAAGUUUUUUUGAAUACAAAAUGUUUUGACGUGACGUCUAAUAAAUAGAUGAGCGCCGGCUGCACGCAUGAAAAAGUGUCCCAUUACGCACAUUGUCCCGUUACACUCAUUGUACGCUUGCGCCGCAUCUAUCUCUCUUCCACUCGAUUGGAACAACCAUCAAUUUGACUUUUUCGAGGCACAUUAAACUUGAAACACUUCCAUUCGUUUCCUACUUUUCCUAUCAUCAUCCUAUUCUAAACAGAACAACACAGAUUGGAAUAAUUUAAAUAGCAAACAUGUAAAUGUUAUAGUUAAAAUAAUCUCUUCGUUAAAGUAAUAAACAUAGUUGAAUUAAUGAGAGCAAAUAAAAGUAAAUUUAUCACUUAAAUUGUAGAUUUCAUUUCACUCCUUUGUAUCCAUACAAAAUAGUGAUAAUUCAAUAAAAAUUAUUCAAUUUUAUUCAUAAAAGUAUGCAAUCAUUUCAUCAAUGUUUUGUUAUGACGUCACGUUAAACUUUCGUCCGUAAACCGACUUUACAGACAACCAAUUUUUUAUUUUAAUUCCAAAUCCUCUCCCGAAAAUAAAUUCCUGAAUCUGCCACUGAUAAUAUUUUUUUAGUUUAAAUAUGUUAGGUUUAAGUAAUACAUCAAUUCUGUUCUCCUUUGCAGUGCUAAAGAUAUUUCAAUGUAUGCAGUUGAGUGGAGAUGUUUAGAAUAGAAGUGAUUCAAAAUGUUCACAACUGUAGUUACCAAAAAAUUAUGAGAAGCAUGGAACUUUAAUUAAUUGUGUAACUUAACAAGUAAACUAAUACUACACGGUUGUCAGAAAUGUAUAUGUAUGUAGUACGUUGAAAUGAAAACAAACAAUAAAACAUUGAGAGCAGCUAAAA